Molecule: ribosomal RNA, 253 nt
Filed under: uncultured bacterium
Lineage: Bacteria
Description: partial 16S ribosomal RNA
Rfam family: Bacterial small subunit ribosomal RNA
Source: RNAcentral
UACGAAGGGGGCUAGCGUUGUUCGGAUUUACUGGGCGUAAAGCGCGUGUAGGCGGGUCGUUAAGUUGGGGGUGAAAUCCCGAGGCUCAACCUCGGAACUGCCUUCAAAACUGGCGACCUGGAGCAAAGAAGAGGCGAGUGGAAUUGCGAGUGUAGAGGUGAAAUUCGUAGGUAUUCGCAGGAACACCAGUGGCGAAGGCGACUCGCUGGUCUUUUGCUGACGCUGAGACGCGAAAGCGUGGGGAGCAAACAGG